CCCGGGCCUUGUACACACCGCCCGUCACACCAUGGGAGUCAGUUGCUCCAGAAACGGAUUGCCUAACCGCAAGGGGGGCGUUCUUUAAGGAGUGACUGGUAACUGGGGUG
Molecule: ribosomal RNA, 110 nt
Filed under: uncultured bacterium
Lineage: Bacteria
Description: partial 16S ribosomal RNA
Rfam family: Bacterial small subunit ribosomal RNA
Source: RNAcentral